CCUACGGGAGGCAGCAGUAGGGAAUCUUCCACAAUGGGCGAAAGCCUGAUGGAGCAACGCCGCGUGGGUGAAGAAGGUCUUCGGAUCGUAAAACCCUGUUGUUAGAGAAUAAAGUGCGUGAGAGUAACUGUUCACGUUUCGACGGUAUCUAACCAGAAAGCCACGGCUAACUACGUGCCAGCAGCCGCGGUAAUACGUAGGUGGCAAGCGUUAUCCGGAUUGAUUGGGCGUAACGGGAACGCAGGCGGUCUUUUAAGUCUGAUGUGAAAGCCUUCGGCUUAACCGGAGUAGUGCAUUGGAAACUGGGAGACUUGAGUGCAGAAGAGGAGAGUGGAACUCCAUGUGUAGCGGUGAAAUGCGUAGAUAUAUGGAAGAACACCAGUGGCGAAAGCGGCUCUCUGGUCUGUAACUGACGCUGAGGUUCGAAAGCGUGGGUAGCAAACAGGAUUAGAUACCCCAGUAGUC
Molecule: ribosomal RNA, 465 nt
Filed under: uncultured bacterium
Lineage: Bacteria
Description: partial 16S ribosomal RNA
Rfam family: Bacterial small subunit ribosomal RNA
Source: RNAcentral